This 2918-nucleotide ribosomal RNA is filed under the name Butyrivibrio fibrisolvens. Its description in RNAcentral is "bacterial LSU rRNA". It matches the Rfam family "Bacterial large subunit ribosomal RNA". Lineage: Bacteria; Bacillati; Bacillota; Clostridia; Lachnospirales; Lachnospiraceae. The record is from RNAcentral.
AGGUUAAGUUAUGUAGGGCGCAGGGCGGAUGCCUUGGCACUAAGAGCCGAUGAAAGACGUGAUAAGCUGCGAAAAGCUGCGGGGAGAGGCAAAUACUUCAAGAUCCGCAGAUAUCUGAAUGGGGCAACCUAACCAGGGAGACCCUGGUUGACCUUAACUGAAUCCAUAGGUUAAGGCCGGGAACCCGGUGAACUGAAACAUCUAAGUAGCCGGAGGAAGAGAAAACAAAAGUGAUUCCGUAAGUAGCGGCGAGCGAACGCGGAAGAGCCCAAACCGGAGAGCUUGCUUUCCGGGGUUCGGACUGCAUGAUCGAUUCAAAUCUGCUAACAGAAAGGUCCUGGAAAGACCUGCCAGAGAACGUGAAAGCCGUGUAUGUGAAAGUGGAAGAGACGAGGCAGAAUCCAGAGUAGGACGAGACACGUGAAACCUUGUCUGAAUGAGCGGGGACCACCCCGUAAGGCUAAAUACUACUUAGUGACCGAUAGCGCAUAGUACCGUGAGGGAAAGGUGAAAAGGACCCCGGGAGGGGAGUGAAAGAGAACCUGAAACCCUGUGCCUGCAAGCUGCGAAAGCUCUAUAUACGAGUGAUCGCGUACUUUUUGUAGAACGGUCCGGCGAGUUAUGUAUACCGGCAAGGUUAAGUGUUUAAGACACGUAAGCCGAAGGGAAACCAAGUGUGAAUAGUGCGAAUAGUCAGUAUACAUAGACCCGAAACCGGGUGAUCUAUCCAUGGACAGGAUGAAGCGGCCGUAAAAGGCUGUGGAGGUCCGAACGCACAUCCGUUGAAAAGGGUGGCGAUGAGCUGUGGAUAGGGGAGAAAUUCCAAUCGAACUCGGAGAUAGCUGGUUCUCCCCGAAAUAGCUUUAGGGCUAGCCUUGUAGCGUGCCUGUUGGAGGUAGAGCACUGAAUAUCCGCGGGGGCUUCACCGCUUACCAAAGAUUAUCAAACUGCGAAUGCCAGUCAGGUUUAGCACAGGAGUCAGACUGCACGAGAUAAGUUGGGCAGUCAAAAGGGAAACAGCCCAGAUCUACGGCUAAGGUCCCAAAGUACGUGUUAAGUGGAAAAGGAUGUGGGAUUUCAUAGACAGCUAGGAUGUUGGCUCAGAAGCAGCCACCCAUUCAAAGAGUGCGUAAUAGCUCACUAGCCGAGAGGUCCUGCGCCGAAAAUUACCGGGGCUAAAACACGACACCGAAGCCUAGGGAUUGCUUGUAUCUACGGGUAUAAGUGAUCGGUAGGGGAGCAUUCAUAAGAGCGUAGAAACUGUACCGAUAAGGAGCAGCGGAGCGUUAUGAAGAGAGAAUGCCGGAAUGAGUAGCGAGAUGAGGGUGAGAAUCCCUCAGGCCGAAUAUCCAAGGAUUCCAGGGUAAAGCUGAUCUGCCCUGGGGAAGUCGGGACCUAAGACGAGGCCGAAAGGCGUAGCCGAUGGACAGCAGGUUGAUAUUCCUGCACCAGAUAUCAUCAGAACUGUGGGGACACAGGUAAUAAGGACAGCCCGGGAGAGCAGCCCGGGGCAAGCAUGGCAAGAGGAAAGGGAGAAAACCCCUUUCAGGAUCGAGCUGUGUGAUGCGGAGCGAAAUAAAGUAGUGAAGUGUCCGGAGGACCUGUCGAGAAAAGCCGCUAUAGUGUGAUAUCUGCCCGUACCGUAAACCGACACAGGUGGAUGAGGAGAGAAUCCUAAGGCCGACGGAAGAAGCAUUGCUAAGGAACUCGGCAAAAUGUACCCGUAACUUCGGGAUAAGGGUAGCCCUCAUGUAUGAGUAUAUGAGGGCCGCAGAGAAGAGGCUCAAGCAACUGUUUAGCAAAAACACAGGUCUAUGCGAAACCGAAAGGUGAAGUAUAUGGGCUGACGCCUGCCCGGUGCUGGAAGGUUAAGAGGAGAGGUUAGAGCAAUCGAAGCUUUGAAUUUAAGCCCCAGUAAACGGCGGCCGUAACUAUAACGGUCCUAAGGUAGCGAAAUUCCUUGUCGGGUAAGUUCCGACCCGCACGAAAGGCGUAAUGAUUUGAGUACUGUCUCGGCAAUGCAUCCGGUGAAAUUGAAGUGCCAGUGAAGAUGCUGGCUACCCGCGCCAGGACGGAAAGACCCCAUGGAGCUUUACUCCAGCUUGAUACUGGGAUCCGGUAUUGUAUGUACAGGAUAGGUGGGAGGCUAAGAGAUUGUGGCGUCAGCUGCAAAGGAGCCGCUGUUGGGAUACCACCCUUACCGUACUGGAUUUCUAACCAUGGACCGUGAAACCGGUCCGGGGACAAUGUCUGGCGGGGAGUUUGACUGGGGCGGUCGCCUCCGAAAGAGUAUCGGAGGCGCUCAAAGGUUCCUUCAGGAUGGACGGAAACCAUCCGAAGAGUGCAAAGGCAUAAGGGAGCCUGACUGUGACACCGACGGGUGGAACAGGUACGAAAGUAGGACUUAGUGAUCCGGUGGCAGAACGUGGGAUUGCCAUCGCUCAACGGAUAAAAGCUACCCUGGGGAUAACAGGCUUAUCACUCCCAAGAGUUCACAUCGACGGAGUGGUUUGGCACCUCGAUGUCGGCUCAUCACAUCCUGGGGCUGUAGCAGGUCCCAAGGGUUGGGCUGUUCGCCCAUUAAAGUGGUACGCGAGCUGGGUUCAGAACGUCGUGAGACAGUUCGGUCCCUAUCCGGCGCGGGCGUAGGAUAUCUGAGAGGAGCUGUCCUUAGUACGAGAGGACCGGGAUGGACGGACCGCUGGUGUAUCUGCUGCGAAGGCAAUCGCAUAAGGCAGGGUAGCCAAGUCUGGCAGGGAUAAACGCUGAAGGCAUCUAAGCGUGAAGCCCCCCUCAAGAUGAGAUAUCCCCACGCAAGUGGUAAGACCCCUUGGAGAGUACGAGGUUGAUAGGCACAAGGUGUAAGAGUGGUAACAUUCUCAGCUGAUGUGUACUAAUAGGUCGAGGACUUAACCAAA